CACGUAGUUAGCCGGAGCUUCUUCUGGAGGUACCGUCAAUCCGGUCGGCUAUUCACCGCCGAACCUUCGUCCCUCCUGAAAGGGGUUUACAACCCGAAGGCCGUCUUCCCCCACGCGGCGUUGCUGCGUCACGCUUUCGCGCAUUGCGCAAGAUUCCCCACUGCUGCCUCCCGUAGGAGUCUGGGCCGUGUCUCAGUCCCAGUGUGGCUGAUCGUCCUCUCAGACCAGCUACCCAUCGCAGCCUUGGUGAGCCGUUACCUCACCAACAAGCUAAUGGGCCGCGAGCCCCCUCCAAUGCGGAGGCCGAAGCUUCCUUAGUACACAAACUUACGAAAGUGCACAACAUCCGGUAUUAGCCCGAGUUUCCUCGGGUUGUCCCGGUCAUCGGGGCAGGUUACUCACGUGUUACUCACCCGUUCGCGGCUUGGCCCCAGGGCAAGCCCUGGUUCGUCGCACCACUUGCAUGUGUUAAGCACGCCGCCAGCCGUUCGUCCUGAGCCAGGAUCAAACUC
Molecule: ribosomal RNA, 512 nt
Filed under: uncultured Solirubrobacterales bacterium
Lineage: Bacteria; Bacillati; Actinomycetota; Thermoleophilia; Solirubrobacterales
Description: partial 16S ribosomal RNA
Source: RNAcentral